Molecule: unclassified non-coding RNA, 317 nt
Filed under: uncultured bacterium
Lineage: Bacteria
Description: contains 16S-23S intergenic spacer region
Source: RNAcentral
UCCGAGUUGACCCCGGCAGUCUCCCAUGAGUCCCCACCAUUACGUGCUGGCAACAUGGAACGAGGGUUGCGCUCGUUGCGGGACUUAACCCAACACCUCACGGCACGAGCUGACGACAGCCAUGCAGCACCUGUACAAACGCCCUUGCGGGAAGGGUACUUUCAUACCCAGUCGUCUGCAUUUCAAGCCUAGGUAAGGUUCUUCGCGUUGCAUCGAAUUAAACCACAUGCUCCACUGCUUGUGCGGGCCCCCGUCAAUUCCUUUGAGUUUCAACCUUGCGAUCGUACUCCCCAGGUGGGGAUGACGUUGAACGGUUG